Molecule: ribosomal RNA, 400 nt
Filed under: uncultured bacterium
Lineage: Bacteria
Description: bacterial SSU rRNA
Rfam family: Bacterial small subunit ribosomal RNA
Source: RNAcentral
GGGAUAUUGCACAAUGGGGGGAACCCUGAUGCAGCGACGCCGCGUGAGUGAAGAAGUUAUUCGUAAUGUAAAGCUCUAUCAACGGGGAAGAAGGAAGACGGUACCCGAAUAAGAAGCACCGGCUAAAUACGUGCCAGCAGCCGCGGUAAUACGUAUGGUGCAAGCGUUAUCCGGAAUUACUGGGUGUAAAGGGAGCGUAGACGGUGAAGCAAGUCUGAAGUGAAAUGCAGGGGCUCAACCCCUGAACUGCUUUGGAAACUGUUUUACUAGAGUGUCGGAGAGGUAAGUGGAAUUCCUAGUGUAGCGGUGAAAUGCGUAGAUAUUAGGAGGAACACCGGUGGCGAAGGCGGCUUACUGGACGGCAACUGACGUUGAGGCUCGAAAGCGUGGGGAGCAAACA